CAGACUUAUUGAAAGUUCCACUUAUUUCUCGCCCCCUUCCCGUAUAUCUCGGACCCGUCACCACAUCUCUCUUAUUUGAAGUUAAUUAAUUUAUAAGAGGGAAAACACAGAGCAUUCUCUCCUCCGACUGUCACCUCUCGAAACCCUAUCACGCUCUCUCCAAAAGGAUCCCCCCUUCUCCGCCUUAGUCUUUCACCGGAACCUUAAUCGGUUAUCUACUAUUUGUCCUCUCCACCGUUUACCACUUCCAUUGAACUGCUGACCUGAUGCUUCCCUCACUGUCGCCUGCCUUCACGAUGACACACUCAGUGAACAAAAACUACACCAUCCUGUCACUGAAGAAAGAAAGAAAAAGGUCUAAGCAAAUCAAAAUCGUAGUCUUUUUUUAUCUCUUCAUGUUAUUUUCAAGAUGGGGCUUGAUGUUGAUAACUGCAUAACAAGUAAAACCUAUAUUGGUUUCUUUAAUUUUUUUAAUUCCUUUCUGAAUAACUAUUCUGUAAAAAUAAUUUUGAAGAUACUGAUUCUUUCGAAUUUUGAAGAUCCAAAGCUGAUUACAAUAGAAAUCGGAUUUGGGGCUUUAAUUUUUUGGGUUUGUAACUUGACAUGUUUAUUGUUUUCUUCUUUUUUCUAUCCUUUUUUUCAGAUCUUUCUUUCUCUUCGUCUUCAUUUUCCUAUUAAUGGAGAGAAGUUUGAUAUGCAGGCGACAAUGGAAUGAGAUGUGUUUACCUAGGUGUUGGAUUCAACCAUAGAUCUUCAUCUCACCAUCAUCUAUCUCUCAGUUGUGAUUUAUCUCUUUAUUUUUUGUUAUGACAUCUGCGUGAGGGAUUCCUUAGGCUCUCUCUCUCUCUCUAAUCUUUUUUUUGUUUCCCAGGUUUGUAUUUAUGAUCGAAAGAUAUCUUCUUGAACUAUGUGAACUUUUGCCUCCAAAUGUCAUGACAGAUUAAGAGGGGCGAGAUCACAAGGGUUUUUAUGCUUCCUCCUUAAUGAGGUUUCCAGGUAACGGAUGAACAUGCUUCUUACACAAAAAUGUAUGUCCCUUAUUCUACUGUUGUAUCUCAUGUUUUUUAGUAUUAAGUUAAUUCCCCUUGAUAAUUUCAUUAAAUUAAAUUACUUUUAUAUGUGUCAGUAGGUAGAAGUUAUGCUCCAUGUUGAUAAUGCGUAUAAUACGCCUAAGAAAGGAUUGUGACAUUUGUUGUUUAAAUAUUCACAAGUUAGAAAAGAAGAAUGUUGAUUUGUUUAGUUAUCUACCAACUAAUAACAACUACUUUGUUAUUACUUUUUCUGAUGAUUUUCUUGAUAUGAAGAACCCAUUCAAAGUUGUUAUUUUUGUUUGUACACAAACAUAAACCACUCACCUUUGUUAUUUCCACCAUCGACUGCCACUAUCACAAGUCUUAAGUUAAAGGACUUGAAGGUGAUUUCCUAAUUUAAGCUUUCUAACAAAGCAUCUUUGAUUAACCUGUUUUGUCACAUUUGAUGCCGAAUUGAAAGGAGCCGGUUGAAGCCUCAACCUCGGUAUCUUGGAUUCGAACUACAGAUUUAUGGGUAUACAUUUUCAUUCUCAAAUAUAAUAUUAUAAAGCACCCAUGUUUGAUAUUGACAAACUGAUUGAGGUAACCUACUUUUUGAUCAUUUUGUUGAUUUUUUUGUGAGAGAUGAAUGAAACCGUUCUAUUAAUGAAAUAUACUCUCAAACAUCAUCUGGAAUGAAAGUUUUUAAUGCUCAAGUGCUUUUCAGCUCUGGUUGAUGUAGGAUGAUAGUCCACAUUAAGGGGAUAAAUCUAGACAUGCCAAUAUGCUUCAAGACCCAAAAGGUAAUUUACCAAUGCCUGUGGAGAAAUAGUGAUUUGGGAGCAACAUUUUACUCUUGGUUACUUCAAAAAAUGAUGAGAACACAAAGCAAGUCUACAAAGUAAUAUUAUAUCUUUUCCUUAGUAAGCACAAUGGUUGAAAAGCUAUUAAAUAGAGUUUUAUUUCUAUGUUAAUAAGCGCAGGGGUUUAAAAGCUAUUAAAUAAAGAGGUAUGUUGGUGUGUUUGUUAGAAAGAACAAGGGUUGAAAUGUUGUUCCUUGCAUUUUUCGGUCAGGGAAUCCCAAAACUAAAUAAAGAGAUAAAACCAUUCAUCAUGGAAAAUACUUUGAUGUAAAUGCAAAAAAAAAAGGUAUUUGACUGUGUGUAUGCAUGUUGUGUUGUGUGUUGUAUUGUGUGUAUCUUUGCGUAUAAAAUUAUAUUUUUUAAAUAGAAUUCAUAGUCCCGUUAUAACUUAA
This is a non-coding RNA of Lactuca sativa (garden lettuce), 2265 nucleotides long. The record is from RefSeq and is a predicted model, not a curated record. NCBI's taxonomy places the organism in Eukaryota, Viridiplantae, Streptophyta, Magnoliopsida, Asterales, Asteraceae.